AUGGAGCAAGUUCUGGAUCUGAUGGACUGGUCUAUGGAGGUAACCCCUAAUUUUCCUGUUUCCCCGCUGGUUCCGUCCAGCCCUGACUCCCCUGUAUACCCUCUCAGUCUCCCACUCCUACCUCCUCCAGUCAUUUCCUCUGCUCCAUUUCCGCUGGUUCUGCCCAGCCCUGAGUCUUCUGUUUCUCCGCUGGUUCCGCCCAGCCCUGAGUCUUCUGUUUCUCCGCUGGUUCCGCCCAGCCCUGAGUUUUCUGUUUCUCCGUUGGUUCCGCCCAGCCCUGAGUCUUCUGUUUCUCCGCUGGUUCCGCCCAGCCCUGAGUCUUCUGUUUCUCCGCUGGUUCCGCCCAGCCCUGAGUCUUCUGUUUCUCCGCUGGUUCCGCCCAGCCCUGAGUCUUCUGUUUCUCCGCUGGUUCCGCCCAGCCCUGAGUUUUCUGUUUCUCCGCUGGUUCCGCCCAGCCCUGAAUCUUCUGUGUGUCCGCUGGUUCCGCCCAGCCCUGAAUCUUCUGUGUGUCCGCUGGUUCCGCCCAGCUCUGAAUCUUCUGUGUGUCCGCUGGUUCCGCCCAGCCCUGAGUCUUCUGUUUCUCCGCUGGUUCCGCCCAGCCCUGAGUUUUCUGUUUCUCCGCUGGUUCCGCCCAGCCCUGAAUCUUCUGUGUGUCCGCUGGUUCCGCCCAGCCCUGAAUCUUCUGUGUGUCCGCUGGUUCCGCCCAGCUCUGAAUCUUCUGUGUGUCCGCUGGUUCCGCCCAGCUCUGAAUCUUCUGUAUCUCCUGUGUUCCCUCCCAGCCUCCCUCUCCCACCUCCUCCAGGACCUGCUGGUCCCUCUGCCCCACUUUCGCUGGUUCCGUCCAGUCCUGAUCCUCCUGUCCUUCCUCCCAUCCUUCUCCUCUCUCCUCCUCCUAGACCAGCCAGUUCCUCGUCAUCCCUGCUGGUGCCAGUCAGUCCCGCAGCUCACCCUCAGUCCGCGCCAUCGGGGCGCGAUGGUUCGCCACUGGACUGCCAGUCUCCAGCUCUGCCUUGGCGCGUUAAGGCCCUGUCUCCGCCUCCAGCCUCCGAGCCCUGGACUCCUCCUCGGUCCUUCGACCCAGCGGCUCCGCCUUGGCUCUUAGCUCCCUCGUCUCCACCGUGGCCUGUCAUCCCACCUGCUCCACCGGGCUCCCUCGUCCCUCCGGCUCCACCUUGGUCAGUCGUCGACCAUCCGCCGCCUCGGGACUCCACUCCUCCGGUUCCACCUCGUCUUUCCAUCCCUCCGGCUCUGUCAGGCUCCUCCUUCCCUCCGGUUCCACCUCCAUCCUCGGUCGCUCCGGCUCCACAGCGGUCUGCCAGGACCCCGCCUCCGCCUUGGUCGCCUGAGCCUUCUGCUCCACCUAGGCCCUCCGGAACCUCGACGUCCCCCUGGCUCUGCGGCUGUGCUGCUCCAUCUUGGGCUCCUCACCCACCGGUGCAGUCUCCGCCUGUCGGCCCCCUGGUGUCGUCGACCCUUCCUUCACCAUGGCUCCUCCCGCCGUCGACCCCACCUUGGAUCUCCGUCCUGGCUGGUCUCUGGUGGACCAUCUGGCUCCUCCUGCUCCUGUCUCCUCCCUGGCUCCUCCCUCCGUCGUCUCCUCCCUGGCUCCUCCUUCUGUGGUCCCUGUCUGCUGGCCCCCUCCUGGGAGUCCGUCCUCCACCGGAACCUCCUCACAAGUUCCCACCCACGCCUCCCUCUGUUGUUUCUACGGUGCGAGGACGCACCUACCGGGAGGGGGGAGUACUGUCACACCUGGACUCAUUUAGUGUGUUUUUGCCCGUGACCCAGUUUGUGUCUUUCCGUGUUUGGUUUGAUUAG
RNAcentral lists this long non-coding RNA (1818 nucleotides) under Carassius auratus (goldfish). RNAcentral's name for it is "lncRNA (ENSCARG00000005686.1)". The record is from RNAcentral. Lineage: Eukaryota; Metazoa; Chordata; Actinopteri; Cypriniformes; Cyprinidae.